GACGGCCUUCGGGUGUGUAAACCUCUUUUAGUAGGGAAGAAGCGCAAGUGACGGUACCUGCAGAAAAAGCACCGGCUAACUACGUGCCAGCAGCCGCGGUAAUACGUAGGGUGCAAGCGUUGUCCGGAAUUAUUGGGCGUAAAGAGCUCGUAGGCGGCUUGUCGCGUCUGCUGUGAAAACCCGAGGCUCAACCUCGGGCUUGCAGUGGGUACGGGCAGGCUAGAGUGCGGUAGGGGAGAUUGGAAUUCCUGGUGUAGCGGUGGAAUGCGCAGAUAUCAGGAGGAACACCGAUGGCGAAGGCAGAUCUCUGGGCCGCUACUGACGCUGAGGAGCGAAAGCAUGGGGAGCGAACAGGAUUAGAUACCCUGGUAGUCCAUGCCGUAAACGUUGGGAACUAGAUGUAGGGCCUGUUCCACGGGUUCUGUGUCGUAGCUAACGCAUUAAGUUCCCCGCCUGGGGAGUACGGCCGCAAGGCUAAAACUCAAAGGAAUUGACGG
RNAcentral lists this ribosomal RNA (497 nucleotides) under Leucobacter aerolatus. Its description in RNAcentral is "bacterial SSU rRNA". It matches the Rfam family "Bacterial small subunit ribosomal RNA", at positions 410 to 916 of the family's 1533-position model. The record is from RNAcentral. Lineage: Bacteria; Bacillati; Actinomycetota; Actinomycetes; Micrococcales; Microbacteriaceae.